CCUACGGGGGGCUGCAGUCGGGAAUUUUGGGCAAUGGGGGCAACCCUGACCCAGCAACGCCGCGUGAGCGAUGAAGGCCUUCGGGUCGUAAAGCUCUGUCGGGAGGGAAGAAGGCUCUCGGGGUGAAUAAUCCCGGGGGAUUGACGGUACCUCCAAAGGAAGCGCCGGCUAACUCCGUGCCAGCAGCCGCGGUAAUACGGAGGGCGCAAGCGUUGUAGGGAACCACGGGACGUGAAUGUGAAGUACGCGGGCCUAACCCCGGAACUGCACUCGAAACUGCCUCGCUAGAGUCUCGGAGAGGGUGGUGGAAUUCCCGGUGUAGUGGUGAAAUACGUAGAUAUCGGGAGGAACACCAGCGGCGAAGGCGGCCACCUGGACGAUGACUGACGCUGAGACGCGAAAGCGUGGGGAGCAAACAGGAUUAGAUACCCCUGUAGUC
This 439-nucleotide ribosomal RNA is filed under the name uncultured bacterium. RNAcentral's name for it is "partial 16S ribosomal RNA". It matches the Rfam family "Bacterial small subunit ribosomal RNA", at positions 338 to 795 of the family's 1533-position model. The record is from RNAcentral.